UCUUGGUCAUUUAGAGGAAGUAAAAGUCGUAACUCUUGGUCCACUUAGAGGAAGUAAAAGUCGUAACAAGGUAUCCGUUGGUGAACCAGCGGAGGGAUCAUUACAGAGUUUCUAACUCACAACCCAUCGUGAACAUACCUUUGUUGCUUCGGCGCGCUUCACGGCCGCCGAAGACCCUAAACUCUUGUUUUUACAUGUGCUUACUCUGAGUAAUUCUUGAAAUAAAUCAAAACCUUCAACAACGGAUCUCUUGGCUCUGGCAUCGAUGAAGAACGCAGCGAAAUGCGAAAAGUAAUGUGAAUUGCAGAAUUCAGUGAAUCAUCGAAUCUUUGAACGCACAUUGCGCCCGCUGGUACUCCGGCGGGCACGCCUGUCCGAGCGUCAUUUCAACCCUCAAGCCCUCCUUCGGGAUGGGCCUGGUGUUGGGGCUCGUCCGCCAUCUCCGGCGGCCGUCCCCUAAAUAGCAGUGGCGGUCACGUCGCGACUCCUUUGCGUAGUAGAAACACCUCNCUCCGGAUAGCAACGCGGUCCACGCCGUAAAAUCCCCAAUUUUCAAUGGUGACCUCGGAUCACGUGGGAAUACCCGCUGAACUUAAUCAUAUCAAUAAGGCGGAGGAAGCUGAACUUAAGCAUAUCAAUAAGCGGAGGAA
Molecule: ribosomal RNA, 650 nt
Filed under: Hypocreales sp. 2 TMS-2011
Lineage: Eukaryota; Fungi; Ascomycota; Sordariomycetes; Hypocreales
Description: eukaryotic LSU rRNA
Rfam family: 5.8S ribosomal RNA (bases 231-384)
Source: RNAcentral